This 302-nucleotide ribosomal RNA is filed under the name Craterostigmus tasmanianus. RNAcentral's name for it is "eukaryotic LSU rRNA". It matches the Rfam family "Eukaryotic large subunit ribosomal RNA", at positions 664 to 910 of the family's 3401-position model. The record is from RNAcentral. Lineage: Eukaryota; Metazoa; Arthropoda; Chilopoda; Craterostigmomorpha; Craterostigmidae.
GACCAAGGAGUCUAACAUGUGCGCGAGUCGUAGGGUUACGCUCAAAGCCCGAAGGCGCAAUGAAAGUGAAGGUCGGCCUCGAUUGCCGUUACCUAGGCGGGAUCCGUUCGGGCUUACCGGUCGUUCGCGGCUGAGCCCGGCGGCGCACCGCCGGCCCGUCUCGACCGCAUCGCCGGUGAGGCGGAGCGAGAGCGUACACGUUGGGACCCGAAAGAUGGUGAACUAUGCCCGGGCAGGACGAAGCCAGAGGAAACUCUGGUGGAGGUCCGUAGCGAUUCUGACGUGCAAAUCGAUCGUCGGAC